This 743-nucleotide ribosomal RNA is filed under the name uncultured Bacilli bacterium. Its description in RNAcentral is "bacterial SSU rRNA". It matches the Rfam family "Bacterial small subunit ribosomal RNA", at positions 29 to 743 of the family's 1533-position model. The record is from RNAcentral. Lineage: Bacteria; Bacillati; Bacillota; Bacilli.
ACGAACGCUGGCGGCGUGCCUAAUACAUGCAAGUCGAACGCUUCUUUUUCCACCGGAGCUUGCUCCACCGGAAAAAGAGGAGUGGCGAACGGGUGAGUAACACGUGGGUAACCUGCCCAUCAGAAGGGGAUAACACUUGGAAGCAGGUGCUAAUACCGUAUAACAAUCGAAACCGCAUGGUUUUGAUUUGAAAGGCGCUUUCGGGUGUCGCUGAUGGAUGGACCCGCGGUGCAUUAGCUAGUUGGUGAGGUAACGGCUCACCAAGGCCACGAUGCAUAGCCGACCUGAGAGGGUGAUCGGCCACAUUGGGACUGAGACACGGCCCAAACUCCUACGGGAGGCAGCAGUAGGGAAUCUUCGGCAAUGGACGAAAGUCUGACCGAGCAACGCCGCGUGAGUGAAGAAGGUUUUCGGAUCGUAAAACUCUGUUGUUAGAGAAGAACAAGGAUGAGAGUAACUGUUCAUCCCUUGACGGUAUCUAACCAGAAAGCCACGGCUAACUACGUGCCAGCAGCCGCGGUAAUACGUAGGUGGCAAGCGUUGUCCGGAUUUAUUGGGCGUAAAGCGAGCGCAGGCGGUUUCUUAAGUCUGAUGUGAAAGCCCCCGGCUCAACCGGGGAGGGUCAUUGGAAACUGGGAGACUUGAGUGCAGAAGAGGAGAGUGGAAUUCCAUGUGUAGCGGUGAAAUGCGUAGAUAUAUGGAGGAACACCAGUGGCGAAGGCGGCUCUCUGGUCUGUAACUGA